RNAcentral lists this ribosomal RNA (254 nucleotides) under uncultured bacterium. Its description in RNAcentral is "partial 16S ribosomal RNA". It matches the Rfam family "Bacterial small subunit ribosomal RNA", at positions 524 to 777 of the family's 1533-position model. The record is from RNAcentral.
UACAGAGGUCUCAAGCGUUGUUCGGAUUCAUUGGGCGUAAAGGGUGCGUAGGCGGCGCGGUAAGUCGGGUGUGAAAUCUCGGAGCUUAACUCCGAAACUGCAUUCGAUACUGCCGUGCUUGAGGACUGGAGAGGAGACUGGAAUUUACGGUGUAGCGGUGAAAUGCGUAGAUAUCGGGAGGAAUACCAGUGGCGAAGGCGGCUUCUUGGCCUGUUCUUGACGCUGAGGCGCGAAAGCUGGGGGAGCAAACGGGG